RNAcentral lists this ribosomal RNA (253 nucleotides) under uncultured bacterium. Its description in RNAcentral is "partial 16S ribosomal RNA". It matches the Rfam family "Bacterial small subunit ribosomal RNA", at positions 524 to 776 of the family's 1533-position model. The record is from RNAcentral.
UACAGAGGUCUCAAGCGUUGUUCGGAUUCAUGGGGCGUAACGGGUGUGUAGGUGGCGCCGUAAGUCGGGUGUGAAAUUUCGGAGCUUAACUCCGAAACUGCAUUCGAUACUGCGGUGCUUGAGGACUGGAGAGGAGACUGGAAUUCAUGGUGUAGCAGUGAAAUGCGUAGAGAUCAUGAGGAAGACCAGUGGCGAAGGCGGGUCUCUGGACAGUUCCUGACACUGAGACACGAAGGCCAGGGGAGCAAACGGG